Molecule: non-coding RNA, 30 nt
Filed under: Mus musculus (house mouse)
Lineage: Eukaryota; Metazoa; Chordata; Mammalia; Rodentia; Muridae
Source: RNAcentral
UAGUUUGAGAGUUUUAACACAAAUUGGGUC